Molecule: microRNA, 21 nt
Filed under: Parasteatoda tepidariorum (common house spider)
Lineage: Eukaryota; Metazoa; Arthropoda; Arachnida; Araneae; Theridiidae
Description: pte-miR-11965-2-5p
Source: miRBase by way of RNAcentral
GAUGAAGGAAUUUGUGUUCAU